CCAGACUCCUACGGGAGGCCGCAGUGGGGGCUCUUGCACAAUGGGGGACCCCCUGAUGCCGCGCCGCCGCGUUCGUGCCGAAGUAAUUCGUUACGUAAAGCUCUCUCAGCAGGGCCGCCCCUGACGGUCCCUGCCUAAGAAGCCCCGGCUAACUACGUGCCCGCAGCCGCGGUCCUACGUAGGGGGCACGCGUUAUCCGGCCUUCCUGGGGGUAAAGGGAGCGCAGACGGCAUGGCAAGUCUGGAGUGAAAGCCCGUGGCUUAACCACGGGACUGCUCUGGAAACUGUGCAGCUAGAGGGCAGGAGAGGCAGGCGGAAUUCCUAGGGGAGCGGUGAAAGGCGGAGAUAUACGGAGGAACACCAGUGGAGAAGGCGGCCUGCGGGGAAUUAACUGACGCGGAGGCGCGAAAGCGGGGGGAGCAAACAGGAUUAGAUACCCUUGUA
Molecule: ribosomal RNA, 444 nt
Filed under: uncultured bacterium
Lineage: Bacteria
Description: bacterial SSU rRNA
Rfam family: Bacterial small subunit ribosomal RNA
Source: RNAcentral